RNAcentral lists this long non-coding RNA (1412 nucleotides) under Anser brachyrhynchus (Pink-footed goose). RNAcentral's name for it is "lncRNA (ENSABRG00000004567.1)". The record is from RNAcentral. Lineage: Eukaryota; Metazoa; Chordata; Aves; Anseriformes; Anatidae.
CUAGGUUCUUGCUAGUUGUCUUGUUAAUGUGUAUUAGAUGGAUAAUUGAUGAAUCACAGCUACCUGAACCUUGGAGAUCUUCUUUCUCUGAAGAAAGCUGAGCACUGGUAUGGUCAUGAAACGCCCUGUACCAGAGAAGUCCUUCCUCUAAAAGUCCUUGGAAGACAAUGCUGUGUUCUGAAGACAGGGUCCAGAAAAGCAUAGGAGGAGAUUUAGAGUUUGUCCUCCGGUAGAGCCAUCAUCACCGCGAUAGCCAGCUCCAAACAACAGCACAACCCCACCUUGCCAAUGUCAGCAGACACUGAGGAGGUGCAAUUCUGUACACAUAAAGACAAGCGUGAGUGUCCUCCAAGAUAUGAGUGGGACUCCCAUGCAGAAAAAAUGAGGCCUGGUUACAACCAUGUUGUUUGGAGGAAUAAGUCAUCUUGGCAAAUAAAGCGCAGGAUUCUACUAUAGCCAAGUCCUCCUCUUCCAGUAAAAAUCCCUGUGGCUGAUGAUUCUGCAAGUAUAGGCAAGAUGAAUGUGCGUCAUUCUCGCUGGGAUUCUGCUCAUUCCUCGUUUCUCACAGCUCCUUAACUCUUAGGAUGGACAUUCAUUUACAUCAGAGCACUACUGCCAGCCAUAUUUAGUCAUGCUUGGGUAUGUAACCCUGGCUAGUAAUUAAUUGGGUUCCGAUCUUGUUAAUGAAUGCUUCUUCAGGACAUCUUAAUAUGUAUUCCUCUCUAAUACCACAUACUGUACCUACAACCUAGUAAAACAAAUGAUUAUCUUUAGUAGGCUGAUAUUCGUGGUAGGCUUGGAAAGAAGAUGGCUGAAUUCUUUGAAGCUAUGAUCCUGUAAAAUUAGGAUCCCUGUCAGCUCCUGGACUUCAUGGCAAAUUGUAUCCGAUAGAACUGUUCAGCAGCUUAUAACAUCAGUGUUUUCUGUGCAGAUCCCUACACAUUGCAUAAAGGAAAUAUUUUUCUCCUCACUUUUCAUGAAACCAAACUGAAGAAUAGCAGUGAUUUCAUUUGCAACAGAGCACAGGGACUGCAGUAGCACCUUUCUGGCUGUCUCAAGCCAGGAGGUCACACACUUCAGUCUUGUUCCCACUGUAUUUGGUGGAGUAAUUCACUGUGCUAGCUGGUCUGCUGGUGCUAUUGGUCUAUUUAGUACUCUACUGGAGUACUAAAACUUUCUUAAUUUUCUGCCCACCAUCUAGUAGGGGAACAAGCAUACUGGCAGCAGCCGCUUCCUUCAAGCUGCAAGCAGACUGCAGCCUUGUUGGGAGAGUUAAUACCUUUUUAGUCUUCUGUGGGAGUUUAUCUCAGUUUCCAACCUAUGAAUAUACAUAUUAGUUGGGAAAAUGAAAGAUUUUCCUAUUGAUAAGCCAUGAAAAUAAACUCUCCUUUGAUCUUUGCUGGAAAAGAUCA